Molecule: ribosomal RNA, 720 nt
Filed under: Celeribacter sp.
Lineage: Bacteria; Pseudomonadati; Pseudomonadota; Alphaproteobacteria; Rhodobacterales; Roseobacteraceae
Description: bacterial SSU rRNA
Rfam family: Bacterial small subunit ribosomal RNA
Source: RNAcentral
CACUACGGAAUAGUCCCGGGAAACUGGGUUUAAUACCGUAUACGCCCUUCGGGGGAAAGAAUUUCGGUGAGGGAUCGGCCCGCGUUAGAUUAGUUAGUUGGUGGGGUAAUGGCCUACCAAGACUACGAUCUAUAGCUGGUUUGAGAGGAUGAUCAGCAACACUGGGACUGAGACACGGCCCAGACUCCUACGGGAGGCAGCAGUGGGGAAUCUUAGACAAUGGGGGCAACCCUGAUCUAGCGAUGCCGCGUGAGUGAUGAAGGCCUUAGGGUCGUAAAGCUCUUUCGCCUGUGAUGAUAAUGACAGUAGCAGGUAAAGAAACCCCGGCUAACUCCGUGCCAGCAGCCGCGGUAAUACGGAGGGGGUUAGCGUUGUUCGGAAUUACUGGGCGUAAAGCGCACGUAGGCGGAUUAGUCAGUCAGAGGUGAAAUCCCAGGGCUCAACCCUGGAACUGCCUUUGAUACUGCUAGUCUUGAGUUCGAGAGAGGUAAGUGGAAUUCCGAGUGUAGAGGUGAAAUUCGUAGAUAUUCGGAGGAACACCAGUGGCGAAGGCGGCUUACUGGCUCGAUACUGACGCUGAGGUGCGAAAGUGUGGGGAGCAAACAGGAUUAGAUACCCUGGUAGUCCACACCGUAAACGAUGAAUGCCAGUCGUCGGGUAGCAUGCUAUUCGGUGACACACCUAACGGAUUAAGCAUUCCGCCUGGGGAGUACGGUCGCA